GUAAUUUAGGUUCAUGGUACAGAGGCUGGCAAGUCCAAGACCUGGCAGCUACAUCUAGUGAGGGCCUUGUGCUGCUUCAUAAGGUAGCGGAAGUUGGGAAGGAGAAGGCUCCCUGGGAGAGGAGAAGGCGUAGUAGCUAAGCCUGCCAUUCAUGGGCAGCCCCAAUCACCUCCUGCUAGGCCCUGCCUCCCCCACAUUAAGAAAGGGAGGUUCCAACAGAUGGACUUGGGGGACAUGCAGAAACCACAGCACGCAGGUGAGGAAGCUAUUGAGUGUGAGGAAGGCUCCUACCACCUGUCCUCCUAGACCAGCAGGGAACCUGUGGCAGAAGAGAGGCCUCGGCCGGCCAGAGACCUGAGUUGCGUGGGCCCUUCUCUGGAAUAAGCCAGGGCCUUGCCUUCUUCCCUCCACAGGUCUCUGAUUCCUUAGGGAGGCAACCUCAGGUCUCAGCAAAGACUCCCCCCUUCUGCCCCUGUCCUGGACUGCUGACAGGGAGACUGAGCAGCUGAGUGUCCACCCCCUAGAAGAGCCUCUUGUACCUCCACAGUAGAGUCUUUCUAUCUGGUCUGGUAACCCUCCCACCAGCCCCCAUGCCCCAUCCCCACUGCCUCCCCUACCCCAGCCAUGGGGCCUUGUAGCCAGUGCUUGGAACUAGAGUUUGAUCUGGAACUGGUUACUUCUGGAAAGAACAACAAUGUGGGAAAACCAUCCACCCGCCUCCCAGAGUCCAGCAGAAUGAACAAAGGGUGGAGGCCAAACUGUUCUUCCCCUACCCACCCCCACCCAGGCCUUUCCACUCUGCCUAAAACCGAAGUGGUAGACUUUUCUCUGGUUCCAACAGCAACUUGAAAAACUUGGGGAAACUCAAAAAAUUUAAAAACCAUCAACCUUCGCGUUCUGCCCGAAAGGGCCCCCACUAGCACUGGAUAAAGCAGCUGCAGGUACUCCCUAGGUGCCAUGCUCACGCCAACCUCUUUAUCAGCAGUGUUCCACUUACUGCUCACAGGAGGCCCUUCUGUUAGUCCCAUUGCGGAUGGGUAAAGUGAGAGUGGGCCUGAAAGCUGAGCUGCCUCCCUGAGCCUCUGCCUCCAGCCUGCAGGGAGGUCCUUGGGGAGGUUGCUGACUGAGCAUGAGGGGCCUCGCUGUUCCUCUGUUGGCAGGUGCCUGCAUCAGAAGGGGUUAGGACAGCUGGGAACAGCCCUGCCCCCAUGACCCUCAUGGUUAUGUCUCUGGCCUCUCUCCUCCCCCACCUAGACCCCCUGAGCUUCUCCCACCAGCCCCAGAAGCCCAGCGGGGUUCUUCCAGAAGCCUGCC
Molecule: long non-coding RNA, 1314 nt
Filed under: Marmota monax (woodchuck)
Lineage: Eukaryota; Metazoa; Chordata; Mammalia; Rodentia; Sciuridae
Source: RNAcentral